This 500-nucleotide ribosomal RNA is filed under the name uncultured bacterium. Its description in RNAcentral is "partial 16S ribosomal RNA". It matches the Rfam family "Bacterial small subunit ribosomal RNA", at positions 30 to 523 of the family's 1533-position model. The record is from RNAcentral.
AUUGAACGCUGGCGGCAUGCCUUACACAUGCAAGUCGAACGGUAAUGGGUCCUUCGGGAUGCCGACGAGUGGCGAACGGGUGAGUAAUAUAUCGGAACGUGCCCAGUAGUGGGGGAUAACUGCUCGAAAGAGCAGCUAAUACCGCAUACGACCUGAGGGUGAAAGGGGGGGAUCGCAAGACCUCUCGCUAUUGGAGCGGCCGAUAUCAGAUUAGCUAGUUGGUGGGGUAAAGGCCUACCAAGGCAACGAUCUGGAGUUGGUCUGAGAGGACGACCGGCCACACUUGGACUGAGACACGGCCCAGACUCCUACGGGAGGCGGCAGUGGGGAAUUUUGGACAAUGGGCGCAAGCCUGAUCCAGCAAUGCCGCGUGCAGGAAGAAGGCCUUCGGGUUGUAAACUGCUUUUGUCAGGGAAGAAAUCUUCUGGGCUAAUACCCCGGGAGGAUGACGGUACCUGAAGAAUAAGCACCGGCUAACUACGUGCCAGCCGCCGCCGUAA